UACCAGCUCUCCGAGUGGUGUGGAUGUUUAUUUGGCCUAAAGCAUCCGUAGCUGGCUGGGCAAGUCCCCUGUUAAAUCCACCGAUUUAAUCGUUGGAAUGCGGGGGAUACUGUUCGGCUAGGGGACGGGAGAGGCAGACGGUAUUUUCGGGGUAGGGGUGAAAUCCUAUAAUCCCGGGAAGACCACCAGUGGCGAAGGCUGUCUGCUAGAACGCGCCCGACGGUGAGGGAUGAAAGCUGGGGGAGCGAACCGGAUUAGAUACCCGGGUAGUCCCAGCUGUAAACGAUGCAGGCUAGGUGUUUGGGCGGCUACGUGCCGCUCUAGUGCCGCAGGGAAGCCGUUAAGCCUGCCGCCUGGGGAGUACGGCCGCAAGGCUGAAACUUAAAGGAAUUGGCGGGGAGCACCACAAGGGGUGAAGCUUGCGGUUU
RNAcentral lists this ribosomal RNA (428 nucleotides) under uncultured archaeon. Its description in RNAcentral is "bacterial SSU rRNA". It matches the Rfam family "Archaeal small subunit ribosomal RNA", at positions 474 to 903 of the family's 1478-position model. The record is from RNAcentral.